GAUGAACGCUGGCGGCGUGCCUAAUACAUGCAAGUCGAGCGAACAGACGAGGCGCUUGCUCCGCGGACGUUAGCGGCGCGCGGGAGUGUAACACGUGGAUAACCUACCUAUAAGAGUGAGAUAACUUCGGAACACCGGAGCUAAUCCCGGAUGAUCUAUUGAACCGCAUGGGUGGAUGGUGAAAGACGGCGUUGCUGUCACUUAUCGCUGGAUCCGCGCCGCAUUAGCUGGUUGGUAAGUUAACGGCCUACCAAGGCAACGAUGCGUAGCCGACCGCAGAGGGGGAUAGGCGGCAUUGGAACUGAGACGGGGUCCAGACUACUACGGGAGGCAGCAGUAGGGAAUCGGCGGCAAUAGGCGAGAGCAUGACGGAGCAACGCCGCGUGAGUGAUGAAGGUCUCCGGAUCGUAAAACUCGGUUAUGAGUGAAGAACAAAUGUGGAAGUAACUAUGCACGUCGUGACGGUACUGAAUCAGAAAGCAACGGCUAACUACGUG
Molecule: ribosomal RNA, 497 nt
Filed under: uncultured bacterium
Lineage: Bacteria
Description: partial 16S ribosomal RNA
Rfam family: Bacterial small subunit ribosomal RNA
Source: RNAcentral